This 497-nucleotide ribosomal RNA is filed under the name uncultured bacterium. RNAcentral's name for it is "partial 16S ribosomal RNA". It matches the Rfam family "Bacterial small subunit ribosomal RNA", at positions 28 to 507 of the family's 1533-position model. The record is from RNAcentral.
GAUGAACGCUGGCGGCGUGCCUAAUACAUGCAAGUCGAGCGAACAGACGAGGAGCUUGCUCCUCUGACGUUAGCGGCGGACGGGUGAGUAACACGUGGAUAACCUACCUAUAAGACUGGGAUAACUUCGGGAAACCGGAGCUAAUACCGGAUAAUAUAUUGAACCGCAUGGUUCAAUAGUGAAAGACGGUUUUGCUGUCACUUAUAGAUGGAUCCGCGCCGCAUUAGCUAGUUGGUAAGGUAACGGCUUACCAAGGCAACGAUGCGUAGCCGACCUGAGAAGGUGACCCGCCACACUGGAACUGAGCCAAGGUCCAGAAUCCUACGGGAGGCAGCGGUAGGGAAUCUUCCGCAAUGGGCGAAAGCCUGACGGAGCAACGCCGCGUGAGUGAUGAAGGUCUUCGGAUCGUAAAACUCUGUUAUUCGGGAAGAACAAAUGUGUAAGUAACUAUGCACGUCUUGACGGUACCUAAUCAGAAAGCCACGGCUAACUCCGUG